Molecule: long non-coding RNA, 1142 nt
Filed under: Macaca mulatta (Rhesus monkey)
Lineage: Eukaryota; Metazoa; Chordata; Mammalia; Primates; Cercopithecidae
Description: lncRNA (ENSMMUG00000038667.2)
Source: RNAcentral
AUGAAGAGCUUCCAGAAGAUGGAUGAAGAGUCUGUAAAUUUGGAAGAGGCAGAAGAUAGCAAUGAGGUAAUGCUGAUUGCUCUCCUCAUGGUAGUACAGUUACCACAAGCUAAUGUGGACUUCUUGCUGGACAGACUGGGUAAUGCAUGAAAUGCCUUCUAAGGAUGUGGAUAUAAAAAACUCAGAUGGCAGACAUAUAAAAACCCACUUCUAAAGACAUUCUGAGGGGAAUUCAGUGCUGCUCUCAGAGCAAGCGUUUUACAUCUACUCAAUUUAAAACUAUGUGUUAUGGAUAAUUUUAGAUAUUUAUUUUUUAUUUCAAUAUGAGGAAGAGGAAACUCAAAUGACUUUUUCUGUGCUGAUGCUGGAUUCUGUAUAUAGCCUCAGAAUGAGUCUGACAUUAAAAGUAAAAAUGAGUUAAAUUCUCAUAUCUUUUUUUUUGGAAAAAACAUAACCCAAACCCCAAACUGUGUGGGAGGAAGAGGCAGUGCUCUGUCUGGGAGAUCUGAGGGGAAAACUUUCAGAAUGCUCACAGCCCACAUGAUCACAUGGUGUAAAUUCUUGGGGAGGGAAUUCUUUGGCAGCCUAACUAUAUAAUUUUCCUCAGAGCAGAAGACUUUAUGUUAAAGUUUUAAAAUCACAGUAAGAUUUAAAGAAUUGCUCUUUAAUUAAGAAAAUGGCUAGAUAUUUUCCUAUAGUUUCCUUUCAGAAAAUAGGUUUCUUAACAAUUUAAUGCAAUGGUUGGAGUAAUGACAGAAAAGCACAGACUCACCGCACACUCAUUUAGGAACAUGUGUGUUUGUUUAGGUGUGAACCCCAAUUAGGAAUAUGCAUUAAAUUAUUCUAUUUUCAUGCAAUUAGGUGGAUUAAAUGAUCAGAUCCCACAAGGAUAGUUCUGUUAAAAUCAUGGCUAGAUUGACAGUUCUCAAGUUCAGAUAUCUCCCCUUGAAAUUGAAGUAACCAAAUGUAAUAGUUCCUCUGCCAACUCUUGAUUUUUAGUGUGUAAAUUAUGCAUGAAUGUUACAUUGACUGCCAAGGGUCAAUAACAACACAUCAUCGGGGGCCCAGAUGGUUUGAGUUCUGCUGUGUGCCAGCUUGAUGCUGAAGGAGAUAUAAAAAGUUUAAUAAUGGUCAUAGUUAAU